This 253-nucleotide ribosomal RNA is filed under the name uncultured bacterium. RNAcentral describes it as "partial 16S ribosomal RNA". It matches the Rfam family "Bacterial small subunit ribosomal RNA", at positions 524 to 776 of the family's 1533-position model. The record is from RNAcentral.
UACGUAGGUGGCAAGCGUUGUCCGGAAUUAUUGGGCGUAAAGGGCGCGUAGGCGGCCUUCUAAGUCAGAUGUGAAAUCCCUGGGCUUAACCCGGGUCGUGCAUUUGAAACUGGAAGGCUUGAGUGCAGGAGAGGAAAGUGGAAUUCCUAGUGUAGCGGUGCAAUGCGUAGAUAUUAGGAGGAACACCAGUGGCGAAGGCGACUUUCUGGACUGUAACUGACGCUGAGGCGCGAAAGCGUGGGGAGCAAACAGG